Molecule: non-coding RNA, 4262 nt
Organism: Microcebus murinus (gray mouse lemur)
Lineage: Eukaryota; Metazoa; Chordata; Mammalia; Primates; Cheirogaleidae
Source: RefSeq, a predicted model, not a curated record
UGUAAGAAAAGAAGGAAAGUUAAAAAUUAUAUGGUAUGUGAUGUGUGUGUGAGAGAGAGAGUUUGUGUGUAUAUCUGUUUACAUUACAAUCAAUAAUUAUGGUUACAUAUAGCAGAUGAGUACAGGUGGGAAAUAGCGUUAAGCUUGAAUGCAAAACAUCUCUGGGUAUUUUAUCUAGUUUUGACCUUUAUACCAUGCAAAAAGAAAAAGAAAAAACUAAAAUCAGAAAAAUAUUAAAAUAUCUAGUCACAUGUUUCCUUUGUUCAAUCAAAGCCAAAUUAAUCAAGCUUAUUUAACUUGUGUGGUUGUUAGUGGUCUUUUUUGCUUCUUCUGAGCACCAGAGCCACUAGAAAGGGGAUUUUGCUGGUCGGAAAAUUUAGGAUCUUGUUGCAGAUCUACCCCUAAAUAGUGCAAUCCUAGACAAAGAACCAUGCUAAAAAAAGCUUCUGAACAAUUGCAAAAGCUUAUGCUAAGUCUCAAUUUUUUCACCUGUAAAAAGGGAUUAAAUUCAAUGAUUUCUAAGAUUUCUUAGAACUAUAAAAUUCAGUAAUUCAAAUGUUUGUUGGAAAAAAAUUAGAAAGUUUCCACCUGCACAGUUUUCUUUAGCUUUGAUGAGUAACAAAGCUCCACUAUACAGUGAAUUAUACAGUCAUUCACUUUCUGCAAUACAACUGAGGAGAAAGUGUGAAAUAAGAUGCAUUUCUCUGACUCCUUCAGGUUGCCAUCAGAUACAAUAGAGCACUUUCUCUUACAAGUUUGCAUGGGCCACAGAAAGGAAGCGGCGGCAGCCAGCCAGUCAGGCAGCCGCAUUCCCAGGCUCCUAAACUUCAUUGGUUAACAGAAGGAAAGAAGAAGCCAAUAGCAAAGUCUAUUGAGGCUGAACUCCGGAGGAGUUUCACUAACUGUCCAGAGUCAAGGGGUUUAGGGAGCUGCAUGAAUUCUUUUGCUAUAUUAAUCACACUUUACAAAAAGUUGCCAAGAAGGCAGCUUUAGGAAGAAAACAUACAAAGUUAGGGCUACAGAAUUUCCGAGUAAAAUCUCCGCAAGCUUGAAUACAAGGGCUAUUUAGGAGACCACAACUCACUGGGAUGGCGGGACAAGAAGGACCAGGUGGGGAAGAGCACAUGGCCUAAUUCUGCUUCUGGAAAGAACUAUGCUUGUUCGGAAAAAUAAUUUCAAGACUUCUUCUACAGGCGGCACUGUCACAUAGCAGGCGCUCCAGGAAUGCUGACCAAAUGGAGAAAUGUGAAAGUGAGGGGAGGUGGGAAGAAGAGGAGCGAGCAGAAACCGUAGCACUGAUGCCUGUGAAGAAGCCUAUGCUGUCAGUGGUGGGUGAGGCAUCGGCAGCAGCCCGGCCGAACCUCAGCCGGGGGAUUUGCUCUGCUUGUCCUGGGGCUUGGGACUCCUGGGUAAGCUGCCUGUGUCCCUCACCCCUCUUCACCCCUAGCUGUGUCAGCCACACAAGGGGCUUUAUUCUCACCACUACAGCAAGAAGUUUGCCAAUCAUCAAGCUUCCCUGUGUGCCUCUUUGAUUUGCAACAUUUAAAGGGCAUGAAGAGAAGCAUUCAGAGGCAGCCUUUUAAACCCGAAGUUACCCUAGUGUGAGUCCCAGCUGAAACAUCCUUGCUAGUAGUAACCGCUGAGCACAGCUGGGCGGAUGGCAGCGUUUGCCCUAUAAAACAUUUGAUACUCUGCCAAUAAACUAUAAAGAGGAAAAGAAAGCCCCCGUCUACUUUGCAGUUACAGGGCAGCUUUGGAAUGCGCUAACCGAAGCAAAUGUGACCCUUGCUCCGUCAGAGCACAGCAACCCAGCUCUGCUGAUGAAUGAGAGCAUAGACCCCACUUGGCAAGGCCACUGGGACUUCAGAGGCUUCCCCCAGAUCCCUCCCCUCCCUACCGGUGUCGAGUGGAUAAGAGUGUCCUUAAGGGCCACUGAAGCCAUCUGACCAUGGGUACCACAGUCAUGCUCCAUCCACUCCACCUCUUUAGGGCCUUAUUUGUCAAUUGGUGCUACUACCAUGGCAAAAGAAGGAUAGUGACCUGCACCUCUACUGCCAUUGCUGUCACCCUUAGACUGCGCUUCCUAUGAAGGAUCCUUGAAGGGAAGAGUCUCUCUAGCCAGCAAAAUCAUCUGCCUCAGCCAGACUUCAGAGGGUCUGGCAACCUGCUGAAAAUGGCUACUUAUAAAGUUUGCCAAAGGUAAAUGCCCUUUCUGAUGUUCAUAUUCAUUCUUGAUGAGUGUGGGUCAUGUCAUCCAGGCCAAGUCAGAAGACAAUUGAAUGGUAGCACCCAGAAUCAAGUGCAAAACAUGAUUCUUCCCUGCCAACCCACAAGCCUAUAAAAAUUCCAAGCCAGGAGUCAUGGGCCUCCUCCUCAGGAUGCAUUCCUUGAAAACCCAUAAGUUUUGCUUGAGAGUAUCCUGUGGGAUCCCAUCUGCUUGAGGAUCCCAGUGCCAGCCAUCUGGGCUUAGCCAUCAGGCCCCAAAGUCCUGCCUGCCAUUUCUUCCUGGAAGAUCUAUGAGUCCUUACACAGACAGGAUUCCUGGAAGUUUUGCUCUCUCAGAGUUCCAGCUUGGGAUCACUCAGAACCCUCAGACAAUUAUUUGAGUACAAGUAGUUUACUGAGGAUGGGAUCCUGGGAAACACAAUGCAGAGAAGGAAGGGCACUAAAGGGUGUGCUGUCAAGCAAGUUUCCACCACAGGCAACUGGAGCACAGUCCCACCAAGGAACUCUGAUAGCCAGCUUAGAGCAUAUACCUCGGUUAUCCCGCCCAGGGGGUGAUGAAUCUGGCUGGAGUCUUUAUCCACCCAUCCCCAUCUGCCAUUGUUUGAGAGACUUAAGUCUGGCCCUUCUAGCCUGCCAUGUGAGCAGAGGGGCUCCAGGAGGUAGAAGAAGCAGAGAAUCACAGGUACUGGCUGUUGGAAGUCAGGCCGGUGAGCACACAGUAGUGAGUGCCAGGUAAUAGAGCGGGGACACUGUCACAGGGGCUGCAGCACCAAGGUGGACAAGUAGGACCCUCUCAUGAUAUAAAGAAGGCUGCAACCAAGGAAGAGUAGUUUGCACGAUCUUCAGAGUGUGAUGACAUUUUGUAUGGUAGCCCUGAGGAAUCUACAGUAAGGAACAGCUAAGAAUAUAGGAACAGGACCAGUUGGACAUCCCCAGGCCACUGGCACUGAUAAGAGUAAAACAGGAAGUUGAGGCUUGGGACAGAAAUCCUAGUUCAAAAGGAACUGAGGUUCAAGGAAGGGAAACAGAGGCAUAAAUCUUCAGUGCUCUAGGCAAGUGAUUCUCUGUGAAGGUAAGAGGCUGAUUUCAUCUGUAGGUGUUUCAGAAAUUUGUGGGCCAUCUAAAAAUGACUGUCACACAAUUAAGUGAUGUCUCUGGAAGACAGUGGGCAAGAUUCACAAAUGCCAGGCAUUCCUACUCAAUGAAGAAUCAAACAGCAACCCCACAUCUUAUCUCUUCACAUACUCUCAGAGAUUAAAAACUUGUUUAUAAAUAUCUGAGUUUACAACCUAAUUUCAUUUCACAUAUAAACUCAAAAUCUUUUUUAAAAUUGUGUUUGUUUGUUUAAAUAAAGGGUCCUGCUAUGUCACCUACAGUGGAGUGCAGUGGCAUAAUCAUAGCUCACUGUAGCCUUGAACUCCUGGGCUCCAGAGAUCUCUUGCUUCCUUCAAGAACUUUGAAAAAAAAAAAAGAGAGAGAGAGAGAGAUCUCAUGCCUUAGCUUUUCAAGAAGCUGGGGCUACAGGAACAUGCCACUAUGUCCAGCUAACUUUCUAAAAAACUUUUUAUGAAUAUGAGGUCUUGUUACAUUGCCCAGGUGGAUCUCGAACUCCGGGGCUCAAGCAAUCCUCCUGCUUCAGCCUCCUAAAGUGCUGGAAUUACAAACAUGAGCCACUGGUUUGAACACAGAGAAAAUUUCCAGGAAUGCAACUUCCUUUUAAAUCAAGAGAAGACUUGAUUUUGUUUUGUUCAGAACUCUACCAAGAGUUGUACAAGAGUUAGAAAAGCAUAUCACUCACAGUUAGUGGUAUUAUUUGAAUCAACAAUUCAAUAUCCUGACUGAGUCAGUUAGCAUUUACAGUUCUCACAUUUGGGUAAUUUUAUGAAGAGAUGAAAGCAUACACUACUUCAUUAAGCCUUUUUAUGUAGUUGUGCCAGAACAUUUAGAUAUGGAAAUACAUAUUAUUGUACAGCAUGUUACUUCCCUUUUAUUUCUCUUUUAUAUUACAGUUAUUAUAUUGUAUAUAUUUUUAAAAG